CUACAUCAAGGAAAACUCUGCUUCGAUGACUUGAUUUUGAUGAACUAUCUGGUCCAUCAAACUUUCGGUUCACAUGAAAGUUUUCUGCAUUUUCAUCACUGCUGCCUGCGACCACUCCUUUUCUCUGUUCCGGUGACAUUCGAUCAUCAUCGUCAAUCAACCUCUGUUCAUGUUCAGCAUUUGCAGCAGCCAUAAAUCUCUGAGUUUCGAAAUCUACUGUCAGUAGAUUCGAAAAAUCAUGUGAAUC
This 247-nucleotide long non-coding RNA is filed under the name Eutrema salsugineum. RNAcentral describes it as "long non-coding RNA (ESAL_LNC000803)". Lineage: Eukaryota; Viridiplantae; Streptophyta; Magnoliopsida; Brassicales; Brassicaceae. The record is from RNAcentral.